GGCCUUCGGGUUGUAAACUGCUUUUGUACGGAACGAAAAGGCCCUGGUGAACAACCGGGGUUGCUGACGGUACCGUAAGAAUAAGCCACGGCUAACUACGUGCCAGCAGCCGCGGUAAUACGUAGGUGGCAAGCGUUGUCCGGAUUUAUUGGGUUUAAAGGGUGCGUAGGCGGUCCUGUAAGUCAGUGGUGAAAUACGGCAGCUCAACUGUCGAGGUGCCAUUGAUACUGCGAGACUUGAGUGUUGAUGAGGUAGGCGGAAUUGACGGUGUAGCGGUGAAAUGCGUAGAUAUGCGGAGGAACACCGAUGGCGAAGGCAAUCCCCUGGGCCAGUACUGACGCUCAUGCACGAAAGCGUGGGGAGCAAACAGGAUUAGAUACCCUGGUAGUCC
Molecule: ribosomal RNA, 391 nt
Filed under: uncultured bacterium
Lineage: Bacteria
Description: bacterial SSU rRNA
Rfam family: Bacterial small subunit ribosomal RNA
Source: RNAcentral